RNAcentral lists this ribosomal RNA (253 nucleotides) under uncultured bacterium. RNAcentral describes it as "partial 16S ribosomal RNA". It matches the Rfam family "Bacterial small subunit ribosomal RNA", at positions 524 to 776 of the family's 1533-position model. The record is from RNAcentral.
UACGUAGGGUGCAAGCGUUAAUCGGAAUUACUGGGCGUAAAGCGUGCGCAGGCGGCUUUGCAAGACAGAUGUGAAAUCCCCGGGCUUAACCUGGGGACUGCAUUUGUGACUGCAUGGCUGGAGUGCGGCAGAGGGGGAUGGAAUUCCGCGUGUAGCAGUGAAAUGCGUAGAUAUGCGGAGGAAAACCGAUGGCGAAGGCAAUCCCCUGGGCCUGCACUGACGCUCAUGCACGAAAGCGUGGGGAGCAAACAGG